UUCAAUUUGCCCAAACACUCCUCGUGCAUGAAAUCAUCUACCUCAGCACCAAUAAUAAUCUUGAUUAGAUGCCCCGUCGCAAUUAAUUGCCGUAUGCUCAUCAGUUCUUUCUAAGCAGAAACAAAUUAAUUAAGCUUGAUUCGUACAAUGCCCUUCUCGUCCUCCUUUUUUUUUUGCUAAAUUUAGUUUGUUAUUGUUUGAAAAUAGUUCUACAAGUAUUUCUGGUUCAUUUUUGUGGUAUUACAUGCGCAGCGUAGUACUUGCAGGCACAGUGUACGUACUUUCUUUCUUGUCCAGGACAGUACUGAGAUCUUCGUCUUCUCCGCUUCUCAAAUGAUGGGCGCAUUGGCUUUACCACAUCUCAAAUGUGUCAUGGAUUUGUCUGUAAAACAUAAUGUAUUGUUGCUUAGAUCAUGUCCAGUACUUCAAAAAAACACUGAUUGUAUACUGUAUACUGCACUGUUUUGAGUUUGAAUAUGUGUAUGCAGCAUCGGUAAGCUGCUAGAUUAUACCACAAUAAA
RNAcentral lists this non-coding RNA (521 nucleotides) under Zea mays. Lineage: Eukaryota; Viridiplantae; Streptophyta; Magnoliopsida; Poales; Poaceae. The record is from RNAcentral.